RNAcentral lists this ribosomal RNA (247 nucleotides) under uncultured bacterium. RNAcentral describes it as "partial 16S ribosomal RNA". It matches the Rfam family "Bacterial small subunit ribosomal RNA", at positions 524 to 776 of the family's 1533-position model. The record is from RNAcentral.
UACGUAGGGCGCAAGCGUUAUCCGGAAUUAUUGGGCGUAAAGGGCUCGUAGGCGGUUCGUCACGUCGGGAGUGAAACUCGGGCUUAACCCGAGCCUGCUUCCGAUACGGGCAGACUAGAGUAUGGCAGGGAGACUGGAAUUCCUGGUGUAGCGGUGAAAUGCGCAGAUAUCAGGAGGAACACCGAUGGCGAAGGCAAUCCCUGGGUCUGCACUGACGCUCAUGCACGAAAGCGUGGGAGCAAACAGG